UACGUAGGGUGCAAGCGUUGUCCGGAAUUAUUGGGCGUAAAGAGCUCGUAGGCGGUUCGUCGCGUCGGCUGUGAAAUCCCGAGGCUCAACCUCGGGUCUGCAGUCGAUACGGGCGGACUGGAGUUCGGCAGGGGAGACUGGAAUUCCUGGUGUAGCGGUGAAAUGCGCAGAUAUCAGGAGGAACACCGGUGGCGAAGGCGGUUCUCUGGGCAUUACCUGACGCUGAGGAGCGAAAGUGUGGGGAGCGAACAGG
Molecule: ribosomal RNA, 253 nt
Filed under: uncultured bacterium
Lineage: Bacteria
Description: partial 16S ribosomal RNA
Rfam family: Bacterial small subunit ribosomal RNA
Source: RNAcentral